Molecule: ribosomal RNA, 468 nt
Filed under: uncultured bacterium
Lineage: Bacteria
Description: partial 16S ribosomal RNA
Rfam family: Bacterial small subunit ribosomal RNA
Source: RNAcentral
GCCGCCCUCUUUCUUCUUUCUUAACACAUGCAAGUCGAACGGAAAGGCCCUGCUUUUGUGGGGUGCUCGAGUGGCGAACGGGUGAGUAACACGUGAGUAACCUGCCCUUGACUUUGGGAUAACUUCAGGAAACUGGGGCUAAUACCGGAUAGGAGCUCCUGCUGCAUGGUGGGGGUUGGAAAGUUUCGGCGGUUGGGGAUGGACUCGUGGCUUAUCAGCUUGUUGGUGGGGUAGUGGCUUACCAAGGCUUUGACGGGUAGCCGGCCUGAGAGGGUGACCGGCCACAUUGGGACUGGGAUACGGCCCAGACUCCUACGGGAGGCAGCAGUGGGGAAUAUUGCACAAUGGGCGGAAGCCUGAUGCAGCAACGCCGCGUGCGGGAUGACGGCCUUCGGGUUGUAAACCGCUUUCGCCUGUGACGAAGCGUGAGUGACGGUAAUGGGUAAAGAAGCACCGGCUAACUACGUG